This 76-nucleotide transfer RNA is filed under the name Bacteroides sp. RNAcentral's name for it is "tRNA-Tyr". It matches the Rfam family "tRNA". From Rfam's summary of the family: Transfer RNA (tRNA) molecules are approximately 80 nucleotides in length. Their secondary structure includes four short double-helical elements and three loops (D, anti-codon, and T loops). Lineage: Bacteria; Pseudomonadati; Bacteroidota; Bacteroidia; Bacteroidales; Bacteroidaceae. The record is from RNAcentral.
GGAAGGAUAGUUCAGUUGGCAGAACAAACGGCGGUAAACUGUAUCGUCCUCGGUUCGAGUCCGAGUCCUUCCACCA